RNAcentral lists this ribosomal RNA (481 nucleotides) under uncultured bacterium. Its description in RNAcentral is "partial 16S ribosomal RNA". It matches the Rfam family "Bacterial small subunit ribosomal RNA", at positions 28 to 523 of the family's 1533-position model. The record is from RNAcentral.
GACGAACGCUGGCGGCGUGCUUAACACAUGCAAGUCGAGCGAUGAAUUUUCUUCGGAAAUGGAUUAGCGGCGAACGGGUGAGGAACACGUGAAGAAUCUGCCCUCCACUCUGGGAUAACACAGGGAAACCUGUGCGAAUACCGAAUAUUUAAACAUUAGUGGCAUCACUGAGUUUUGAAAGAAUUUCGGUGGAGGAUGACUUCGCGGCCUAUCAGCUAGUUGGAGAGGUAAUGGCUCACCAAGGCAACGACGGGUAGCCGGCCUGAGAGGGCGACCGGCCACACUGGGACUGAGACACGGCCCAGACUCCUACGGGAGGCAGCAGUGGGGAAUAUUGGGCAAUGGAGGAAACUCUGACCCAGCGACGCCGCGUGCGGGAUGAAGGCCUUCGGGUUGUAAACCGCUUUCAGUAGGGAAGAAGCGAAAGUGACGGUACCUACAAAAGAAGCACCGGCUAACUAUGUGCCAGCAGCCGCGGUAA